CUUGACAUGCGCUCUUAAAAAAAUAAAAAAAGAAAAAAAAACUUAGUGGGCUAUUUUUCUUAGGCACGACACGGCACGGCCCACUGUACGGCACGAGUGGGGACGAGCACGAGCACGUGUGGGCACGGCACGACACGGCACAAAAUGCAUAGUCGGCACGGCACGACACGAGCACGCGUGGGCUUCCUUUGAUGGGCCUGGCCCGGCCCGGCACGGCCCGUUGGCCAUCUCUAAGUGGCAUACCCGAACUGCGGAUCAAGCGCCUGGACUGUACGUUACACUACUAUCCUGUAAUAGCUUAAAUUUUAAUUAUAACUUGCAAAUUUCUAUGCAUCAAAGCAAACAUGUGGCAAAAUUUAGGAUUUAUUGAUUUAGGAUUAUUUAUUUAAAUUAUUAACUGCGAUCAUGAGAAGGUUAUUCUUUAAAAAAAAAAAGACUGGACUCAUUAAUUCAAAAAUUAAUCCAAAAAAAUUACCUAUUAAAUGUAAUAUUUUAACAUUGAACAAACAAGAUUUGCUUUACAUUAAUUUAGAAUAAUGUCGAUGCUCAAAUUAUAUGUGAUUGUUUGCUUUAAUUAAUGCCUAAAUGAUUUUUUGUGUUUUUAAAUUAUUUAAAAAUUGGUUCCACGUAAAUAUUCUUAACUAACUUUUUCUUUUAAUAAUUUAAUUUUUAGCUAAAUUUGAAAGAGAUCCUUGUAUCCAUCCACAUUGAUCUAUAUAUAGCAUUGUAUCCUCUUUAUCUCCUUUAAAAUUAUGUGAGAUAAGAGGAUGAGGAUCUCCAGAUAAUAAGAGAGAUCCCAAAGAUACUUGAUCUUUAGAUAACUGAUACUUUUAUUUGCUAAACUUAAUUAAAUUAAAGUAUAAAAUUGUAUUACCAACACAAAAACAUCAAAGUAAACUAAAGUUAUUAAAAUCAUUUCCUCAAACUAAGUCAAUGUCAUCAAAAUUACAAGAUAAAAUUAAGGAAAAGUAGGGUCUCAAAGUUGAAUACAUCCACAAAUGAUGAGAACCAUCAAGGGAAUACCAUUAAAGCUUCAAGUGAUCCUUUGCACAUUUAUGGAGGCCCAAUUACAAGAGCUAGAGCUAAAAAAUGCAAGCUGCAUUAAAUGGAUUAAUUGAAAACAUAUGAAUUGAAAAUGCAAUUCAAGAUGCAAGACAUCAUGAAUUGGGCUUGGAGAGAAGACAAGGCAUUGUGGACAUUAUUCAAGCUAUUGGGCAGCCAAAUACACAAUUUGGAUCAAAUGCAGAAAGGGCAAAUUCGGAAUAAAUCUGGUAUUGAUUGAGCCAGAAUUAAUGUGCAAGCUAUAUACCAUUGGAAAAAUAAUUAAGUUAGCUUUCCAAUGCAUUUUACAGAUCUAGAUUUGGAGUUCUCUAGAAGGAGUUAUGAUCAAUUUAUUACAGCUUGUUCAGGCUUGGGAAUUCAAACGACUCCUUUGAUUAUUCAACUUCAUUUAUUUGUUUUGUGUCAAGUUUAUCAAUGUGUUAGGUAAGUCUACCAUUGAUAAUGGUGGGCUAGCAUUAUGUUUGUCAAUGUUAACAUUAAUAAUGGUGGGUUAGUGAAGGCUUUUAAAGCACCCUUUGACAAACCUAUACUUGGAGGGUUGUUCCAAUGUUUUCAUUUGCAUUUUUAGGAUCUUGGGUUUCUUUUAGCCUAUUUAAACUCAGCAACCUUGCUAUGUAUGACAAUUAAGAGAUUAAUAUUAUUUGAAUUUGAAAGAUUAUUUUUUCUUUGGUUCUUUUGAGAACUAGUGAACUUAUCAAGAAUUUGCAUUCUUGUGGCGUUCCAAAUUUAGACUUAUCACUCACCUUCUCAUCUAUUUCUUGAGUGUGGCGUCAAUAUCCUUCUCUAUACCUUUGGUUCAUGCUUUUCUUAAGCAUUGAGUCAAGGUUUUGUUUAUCAUAAAUCUGUUUAGAACUUUCUUGGGAAGUUGAAACUACAAUUUAAGUGUGAAUUUCAAAGUUUCAUCGUGGAAAUUUGUUUCUCAUCUAUUUCUUGAGUGUGGCGUCAAUAUCCUUCUCUAUACCUUUGGUUCAUGUUUUUCUUAAGCAUUGGGUCAAGGUUUUGUUUGUCAUAAAUCUGUUUAGAACUUUCUUGGGAAGUUGAAACUACAAUUUAAGUGUGAAUUUCAAAGUUUCAUUGUGGGAUUUUGUAUCAAUAAAAGUCAUAAAAGUCAUAUGAUAGAAAUCAUCAACAAAAUUAUCUUCAUCACUCUUCAAUAAUUUAUGAAAUUAAGCAAGAAUAGAGCUUUAAAGUUGAAUACAUUCAUAAAAGUCACAUGGUAUAAAUCAUCAAAAAAAUUAUUUAUGUCAAUCUUUCAAAUGUUUAUAUUAGUUAUUAUUUACAUUAUUUUUAUAAAUAUUAUGAUAUC
RNAcentral lists this long non-coding RNA (2368 nucleotides) under Citrus x clementina. RNAcentral's name for it is "Citrus clementina (C. clementina) long non-coding RNA (CCLE_LNC001858)". Lineage: Eukaryota; Viridiplantae; Streptophyta; Magnoliopsida; Sapindales; Rutaceae. The record is from RNAcentral.